GGGUCUGUAGCUCAGUUUGGUUAGAGCGCACCCCUGAUAAGGGUGAGGUCGGAAGUUCAAGUCUUCCCAGACCCACCA
RNAcentral lists this transfer RNA (78 nucleotides) under Gammaproteobacteria bacterium. RNAcentral describes it as "tRNA-Ile". It matches the Rfam family "tRNA". Rfam says of the family: Transfer RNA (tRNA) molecules are approximately 80 nucleotides in length. Their secondary structure includes four short double-helical elements and three loops (D, anti-codon, and T loops). The record is from RNAcentral. Lineage: Bacteria; Pseudomonadati; Pseudomonadota; Gammaproteobacteria. RNAcentral also lists the same sequence under 1 other name.